This 100-nucleotide microRNA precursor is filed under the name Fasciola hepatica (liver fluke). Its description in RNAcentral is "bantam stem-loop (fhe-bantam)". Its record names the gene fhe-bantam. Lineage: Eukaryota; Metazoa; Platyhelminthes; Trematoda; Plagiorchiida; Fasciolidae. The record is from miRBase by way of RNAcentral.
CAGCUCUUCUCGCGUGCUCUGAGACAAUCACCAGGUUUUGCCCCAAAGGUCGGCCCUGGCAGUGGCAAUAGCCCUCUCUGAGAUCGCGAUUAAAGCUGGU